GGAAGGAUCAUUCACAUUUUUAAGCACCAGUCUCGGCUGUUGUGCUUGUUGGUCCCAUUUUUCUAACAUUUCUAAUGUUAAAUCUCAAAAGAUUCAACAAUGGAUGCCUUGGCUUGGGGAUCGAAGAAGGACGCAGCAAAGCGCGAUAUUCGCUGUGAAAUGCAGAAUUCUGAGAAUCAAAAGAAAUCCUAACGCAACCUGCGUUGUAGUCACUUGUGAUUGCAACGAUUGUCCUUCAGUGUCGUUACCAAUUAGAUUUCAAUCUAAAUAUUGUGAUUUGGCGCCUCCAAGGAGGUACCAAUUUAUGGGGCUUCUUGCUUUGCUUGAGGCAUAAUUCUUGUCGGGAUCCUUGCAGUGAUCCUGUUUUAAAGAUCUGAAUGUUUGUUUUACAAUAAUUUUGGAUUUCUUUUCAACAUGUUCUUGCACUCCUGAUUUCUAUAAUACACUGACCUGAAGGGGAAUAGAUUACCCGCUGAAUUUAAGCAUAUUAUUAAGCGGAGGGAAAGAAACCAACUGGGAUAUCCUUAGUAACGGCGAGUGAAACGGAUCCUGAGCUCGGGGUAUUGAAUCUGCUGGUUGUAUUUCCAGCAGAGUUGUUGCCCUGGUGUUGCUUGACGCGUAACCUAUGCUAGGAAAAAAGCGGUUGGAAGACCGUGCCAAGGAGGGUGAGAGUCCCGUGUUUCCUGGUGUUCAGUUACCAACGUCUUGUAAUCGUAGAGUAGCGCUCUUCGGAACUAGAGUGUGAAAGGGUGGUAGCGUUCAUCCAAAGCUAAAUACUGCCCCAAGACCGAUAACAAACAAGUACCGUGAGGGAAAGGUUAAAAGAACUUUGGAAAGAGAGUUAAAAGUACCUGAAAUUGUUGAAUUUGAAGCUUGCAGUAGCUCUUUGAUCAGGGUAGUAUUAAUGAGCGUGUUACGUUUUUCAAGCAAUUGGAUUGCGUUUACACACAUAAGUUAGUAUUACUUUGGCUGAUGGCAAUUCUGGACUUUCCGCGCCCUGCUUUUUACUGCCGUUUGCUUGCAAUCAGCGGUAAAUUCAGUCAGCGUGCCUAGACUUGGAUUGUUUAUUUGCCGUUUUCCAUGAUUUGUAGGUUUUCAACUCCUGGUAGUUUGAUAUUCUCAUUCGACCUUGAGCGGGAGUCAUAUAUUUUGCUGGUUAAAGGCGUGAGUCAGCUGAAUUGGAGUUCUGCUGGGCCCGUCUUGAAACACGGACCAAGGAGUCUAACGUUUGUGCGAGUAUGUUGGUUAUAAACCUGCAUGCGUAGUGAAAGCAAUUGCUGCACUUGUGUAGCGUUACUAUGAUUUGAACAUCUGUUCGUUUAUAGGCAUUUGUGGCCAUUCUUGAUCCUCGGUGAUAGUCUGAGCCUGAGCACAGCCGUUGGGACCCGAAAGAUGGUGAACUAUGCUUGGACAGGGUGAAGCCAGGGGAAACUCUGGUGGAGGCUCGUAGCGUUACUGACGUGCAAAUCGUUCGUCGGAUCUGAGUAUAGGGGCGAAAGACUAAUCGAACCAUCUAGUAGCUGGUUCCUCU
This 1531-nucleotide unclassified non-coding RNA is filed under the name uncultured fungus. RNAcentral's name for it is "sequence contains 18S rRNA gene, ITS1, 5.8S rRNA gene, ITS2, 28S rRNA gene". The stretch from base 447 to 1531 matches the Rfam family "Eukaryotic large subunit ribosomal RNA", at positions 1 to 961 of the family's 3401-position model. The record is from RNAcentral. Lineage: Eukaryota; Fungi.